Molecule: ribosomal RNA, 734 nt
Filed under: Amanita loosei
Lineage: Eukaryota; Fungi; Basidiomycota; Agaricomycetes; Agaricales; Amanitaceae
Description: eukaryotic LSU rRNA
Rfam family: Eukaryotic large subunit ribosomal RNA
Source: RNAcentral
CCUGCACUGGACCGUGUAUAAGUCUUCUGGAAUGAAGCGUCAUAGAGGGUGAGAAUCCCGUCUUUGACACGGACUCCCAAUGUAUUGUGGUAUGCUCUCAAAGAGUCGAGUUGUUUGGGAAUGCAGCUCUAAAUGGGUGGUAACCUCCAUCUAAAGCUAAAUAUUGGCAAGAGACCGAUAGCGAACAAGUACCGUGAGGGAAAGAUGAAAAGAACUUUGGAAAGAGAGUUAAACAGUACGUGAAAUUGUUGAAAGGGAAACGCUUGAAGUCAGUCGCAUUGGCCAGGGAUCAGCCUAGCUUUUUUGCUUGGUGUACUUCCUGGUUGAUGGGCCAACRUCAGUUUUGAUUGCCAGAGAAGGGCAGAGGGAAUGUGGCACCUCCGGGUGUGUUAUAGCCUUCUGUCAUAUAUGUCAGUUGGGACUGAGGAAUGCAGCAUGCCGCAAGGCCAGGUCAUUUUUGACCAUGUUCGUGCUUUGGAUGUUGGCAUAAUGGCUUUAAUCGACCCGUCUUGAAACACGGACCAAGGAGUCUAACAUGCCUGCGAGUGUUUGGGUGGAAAACCCGGGCGCAUAAUGAAAGUGAAAGUUGAGAUCCUUGUCAUAGGGAGCAUCGACGCCCGGACCUGAGCUUUUAGCAAUGGAUCUGCGGUAGAGCAUGCAUGUUGGGACCCGAAAGAUGGUGAACUAUGCCUGAAUAGGGCGAAGCCAGAGGAAACUCUGGUGGAGGCUCGUAG